GCCGUAUCUUCAGCCCCCAGGAGAAGCAGCGCGAGACUGUGGAGAGGUCCCCUCGCCAGCUGCGUGGGGCGGCCAGAGCGCAGUUAGCUAAAGGCUAUGGACGCCCGGCCCGCCCAGGCCAUCUUCAGGGUGCCCGGGAGCACCUGCGCGCCCCAGCCCAGCCCCGCCACCUUCAUGGAUUCUGCCUUCAGAAGCAUGUGAAAUAGAUUACUCCAUUUAAACCAGGAAAAUAGUAGCACGAUUUCCUGGCUCUCCAGACCUUUCCCAGAAUGGAUGCAAUCACGUUCACAGCGAGGAAGCAUCCACUUCCUAAUGAGCUCUCGGUAGACUUUGGUUUGCAGCUGGUGGGCGCCUUACCUGUGCAUUCUCUCACCACUAUGCCCAUGCUGCCAUGGGUGGUGGCCGAAGUACGAAGACUCAGCGGCCAGGGCUCCAAAAAGGAGCCUGGGAUCAAGCAAGUCCGGCUUUGGGUUUCACCCUCUGGACUGAGAUGUGAACCUGACCUGAGGAAAAGUCAACAAUGGGACCCGCUGAUCUGUUCCAGCAUCUUUGAGUGCAAGCCUCAGCGUGUUCACAAACUGAUUCACAACAGUCACGACCCCAGUUACUUUGCUUGUCUCAUUAAGGAGGAUGCUGCCAACAGGCAGAGCCUCUGCUAUGUGUUUAAAGCAGACGAUCAAACUAAAAUUGAGUAUGACAGACAGAAUAGAGGAUCAGUGUUUGGCAUCUGCCCCACCAUCUGGUGAGCUACAAACAUGUACAGCGUGUUCAGUGGUGA
Molecule: long non-coding RNA, 778 nt
Filed under: Cricetulus griseus (Chinese hamster)
Lineage: Eukaryota; Metazoa; Chordata; Mammalia; Rodentia; Cricetidae
Description: lncRNA (ENSCGRG00000025364.1)
Source: RNAcentral